CCCAGACUCCUACGGGAGGCAGCAGUGGGGAAUAUUGCACAAUGGGGGAAACCCUGAUGCAGCAACGCCGCGUGGGUGAAGGAGCGUUUCGGCGCGUAAAGCCCUGUCAGCGGGGAAGAAGAAAGACGGUACCCGACCAAGAAGCCCCGGCUAACUACGUGCCAGCAGCCGCGGUAAUACGUAGGUGGCGAGCGUUGUCCGGAUUUACUGGGCGUAAAGGGAGCGUAGGCGGGCUUUUAAGUGAGAUGUGAAAUACUCGGGCUCAACUUGAGUGCUGCAUUUCAAACUGGAAGUCUAGAGUGCAGGAGAGGAGAAUGGAAUUCCUAGUGUAGCGGUGAAAUGCGUAGAGAUUAGGAAGAACACCAGUGGCGAAGGCGAUUCUCUGGACUGUAACUGACGCUGAGGCUCGAAAGCGUGGGGAGCAAACAGGAUUAGAUACCCCCGUGCAG
Molecule: ribosomal RNA, 449 nt
Filed under: uncultured bacterium
Lineage: Bacteria
Description: bacterial SSU rRNA
Rfam family: Bacterial small subunit ribosomal RNA
Source: RNAcentral